UGCUGUGAGGAUCAGCUGAGUUCCAGCCCUGCAGAAAUCAGUUCAGGUAUUUCCUCUGGUGGUGAGACCCAGGUUCCCAUCCUGUGCCAGUGUCUGCAGUGGUCCAGGGACCAGGUUACACAGGACCAGCUGCAUCAGAUGUUUUUGUCUUAGCAAAAAUAUUCCUGUAAACUAGAUACCACAUCUGUUUCUGCCUCUUUCACAGUUCUGUGUUCAAAUGCAAAAUCACAGUUCCCACCAGUGCAGCCUGUUCUGGCUCCUGUUGCCUGAGAUGGCUCAGCUGCACCUUUGAUCUGAACAAGGAUGUGAGCUCACAGGCAUCCCCUGCCCGUGUUUCACCCCUCUCUUUCAGAGGAGUGGUUGUCAUGCUGGUGUUGGUGUUUGCUCCAGCAGCUGUGAAUGUGCUCCUGUAUUUGCUGUCCUUGUGUAGGUUUUACUUGCUAGCUUUGUUCCCUCAAUUUCCUGCAGUGCAGCAUUGGGUUGGAUUGCAAGAAGGGGAUUUAGAGGGAGCCAAGUAUUUUUUUGUGCUUUAAAGUCUGUCUAGUGCUUUCUUUUAACUGACCAAGAUCUGCAGCACUUUGGAGUAUUUACUGCUCCUAUUUAAUGGGCUGUUUACAAUUUCAGGACCAGCCUCAGUAGCCUUGUGGAGAAUAUUUCCAUGCUGAUGACAUGUUUACAGUGAAUAAUAAGAACUGACACAUUUUGUGUGCACAGGUUAAUGCCCCCAAAUCAGGUACUGUAAAUUGUUGUGGGUGGGCAGCUGGUACAAGAACCUGUUUUGCUUUUAUAGAGCAUCACAGCAAGAUCUGGAAAACACAUUAGUUAAUUUCUUGCUUCCUCUGCUCAUUGCAGGCAAAGUGCAAGGUCUCCUUUUUCCUCCCCUCUCCUGUCUCAUGUGCAUGGACUGGGGGAAGAGGCAGGGCUAGAGCUACCCUGAAGGGAUGCUCUUUGGGGAGAUGGUGCCCAGAACAGCCUUGGUGCUUUGAGGAUCACAGGGGUGUCAGCAGCGUGGCUCAGGAGGCUCUGAGGCUGGUGGGGUGCAGCAGCCACCCCCCGAUCCCCUGUCCGUGUGUCCCCUUCCCUCCCAGCCCCGCAGAGCUUUCACUGCCCUGGGGCUCGGCAGAGCAGGCAGCAGGAGUGCUCUCCCUGAAACAAAGUGUCUCAAGUUCUGGCAUUUAAAACCGUGUUUCAAUUUGGGAAAUCUCAAGUAGCCUUUUGCUUUUAAGGUACAUUAAGUCUGUUAUGUCACAGGUGUAAAAGUAACUCAAUAUUCAGAUCAGGAAGGGAAUGAGACCUCUGGGCAGUGUUAUUGGUGGGGUGGGAUUACAUAAAGGAAAAGUGGCUUAUUGCUUAUUUCCAUCUGCCCACAGCAGACCUUUCCAGGUGCAAUGUGUUUCAUGUGGUGCUUCUGGAAAUGCUUCAAAACUGCAGUCUCCUAGGCUUUGGGUCUGAAUAUAUUUCUUUUAGAGAAAGCCACAUAUCUGCAAAUAGGAAGAAAAGGAGAAACUUCUAGAUGAGAGCAGCCUGUUCCUCUCUGCAUCAAAUCUGAGUUAUAACUGGUUCUUUUGGAUUAUAAAUGCUACCUUCAGCAUUCACUUGGAACAAUUUUAAUUCUGGUGACAAGCAAUGAGCUAAUAAGCCCCAAUGUCAAGAAAUCCUUUGUUUUGUUACUGAAGAACUGCAUUACAGCCAGCUCAAGAGCAGACUUUCCUUCAUGGAAAGGAAACUCAGGGUGCAGGAGGGUUUGCUGCUCACUGCACUUGCCUCACCACUGAGACAGUCAGUAGUGUUAACUUGAAGUGAAGGCACAACAACAAAACUCAUUUCACAUAGGCCAUUGAACAUUAGACAUUACAAAAAUCUUCUGUCCCUACUUCCAGAUGGAACCUGAACCAGUGACCUGGAGGUGAAAUGCUCUCCUGCAGUCCUCUGGAGCCUGCAGUGUUUCUGUGCAUCCCACAGAGCACUUUUUCUGCAUCAAAAAGCAAAUUAAUCUGUCACUGAGACUAAUCCUACUUGUCUCAAGCGUAAACACAAUUUUUAAAUGUAGAGGGGCUAUUUGAGAUAAUUUUUUACAUUCUGAGUCAGAAUAUCAGAAAAAAUGUUUGCAUCUAUUUUGUUAAGGUUUUUUUCUCUGAAAGUUGAGUGACUACUUUUGACCUAGGUGGUUUUUAUAUGAGGAAAAAAGGUGGACAACAUUAAUAGUAUAAAUAAUGAUGCAGAAGCCUUUCACUUCCAAUGGGCAAUAUUUUUUUUUUUUUUUGUUUGUUUGUUUUCUGAUUUGGAAAUGGGGUAGACAGAAUAUGUGGUUUAUGCCAGCAGGUGGAUCCAUCUGUCAUCCCAAUCACUGUGGGCUUUGCUUCUCUUUCAGAAUUGAGUAAUCCCUUCCAGGCCAGGGAAGACUUGGAGAAGUGGACAACUAGAAAGGCAGCUGCAAAACUGCAGAAAUCUUUAUUUUUGCAAAAAAACCCAACAGUUUUCAGCUUUCUUGAACUCUUGACUCUCCAGUAAUUCAAAUGAAGAGGUACUGGUCUAGUACAUCAGCUAACCUGAUCUUGUACUGAUUAUAAUCCACAGCUGACCUGCUGGGACACCUUGUCUGGUAUGGGGUCUGUGGCUGAGGGAGAUUUUGUGAACACAGCUCAGUUUCAGUGCAGCUCCUGAGCAGACUAUUAGACAGUGGCUCACUGCUGAGGGAUCCCAUCUUCUGAUGUCUCUGGACAGCACAGGAGGGUUUGUAUUCCUGUUUAUAUACAGGAACACAGGAGUUGUUUAUAUUCCUGUAGUUUCUAUCAAAUUCCAGUGACAUGCAUAAAAAUAAUUAGUGAAAUAAAUACUCAGGUGUCGAUGCUCUGGCAGGAGGUAGCCAAGGGAAUCGUCUGUGCAAAAGGAUGAUUUAAGUUGAGAGCAUCUACAGGGAUAAUUGAUGCCAAAUCUACCAUUACUAUGGAUUUGGGCAUAAUUAAUUUGGAUGAAAAUAAAAUACUUUCAUCAAAAAGAAUAAAUUGAAGCAUGGCAGGUAAUUCAAGAGUCAGAAGCCUUUAUCAAAGAUGUUUGAGGAAGGUGUUUUGAUCCUUCUAUGCUGAUUAUGUGACUUGAUGCACUUGCUCUGUUUGGUUUGCACUACAGUUGGGGACAGACUCUGUACUACAAGAAAAUUAUCCUGACUCUCUCAGCAUUAGGAAGCUUGUUUGUUGUGUUGUAUUUGGAGAGCUCUACAGUGAAAUGGCCUUUCUGACCUGUUACUAUGUUGGGGAAUUCAUGUGUCUCCUUUACAACUCACUUUAAGAUUGGCUUUUAUUUCUGGAUCUGCUACUAGUUUUUAAAGGCUUGUGUAGCCACUCUUUGUUCUAAGGCUUUGUAACUGGCUCUGAACUAACCUCAAUUUCUUGGCAUUGCCCUUUCAUUGGUACAUAUUUUGAACCUCUUUCCCUUUACCCAAUGGACUUGGCUUUUCUUUGACUCUGUUCCCUGCUUGCCCUGCAGGUUUUUUGUCUUCUAUAAAGGGAAGCCCACUGCAGCCAUGUGGUCCCCUAAUCCCCUGGAGAACAUGUGGCUCACCAAGGGUGUGUUACAGACUCAGCUACAGUGAAAUCACAGAUUUUAUUCUUCCUCAUGUGAAUUAUGGAGCUCUCCAGUUUGUAUUUCCUGCAUCAGCCACAGUGCUGGUUACUACUGGGUCCCCCACCAAUGUUUUGGUUGUCUGGCUGGAGAGGGAUAAAAUGACUGUGGCUAAAGUGUAGGAGAGUUGACAAUGGACUGAUGUGGUGAGGAGGGGGCAGCCUUCCCAGCUCACUGCAGAAAUGGCUGAGGUGAAUUGAAGCCAGCAGCGUGGCAUCUUCAUCCUGAUGGCCACUGGUGCAAACUGAGCACUCCAGGGAAGCAAUGGGAAGGAGUUGCCCCUAUAGUGUGCAAGAUACUUGUUCACAGGGGAGUAAGAAACUAACAAUAUACUGGAAAACCGAGCGGGACAAAAAAGAAUUUGAGAAUUGGAAGGAAGAAGCAAUUGAAAACAAAUCUGUUCCAAGGUAAGUGUGAUCUUCACUCUUACCAUCUUCACUCUGCUUGAGGCUGUGUUUUCACCUCAGUUUACCAGCAUUCUCUAUGUUUUUCUGCAGUGAGUUGCUGACCUUUCACUUGAUAGCACACACACCGAGCAAAUGGCCCAAUGCCUUCUGCUGAGCUGUGCCAGCCUCUCCUGGUCCAGGGCCUGCCCCUGUGCUGGGUUCAGGGGCCAGGCUGACUCCCUGCCAGCUGGCUGACUAGGGAGGCUCAAGAGCCCUGUUCUAGGGCACGUCCAGCACUGCAGCAAGAUGGGAAUGAGAUUCACUGGGUGGGUGGUCUUCACUUUCACCAUCAGCCCAUAAAUAUGUCAGGUGAGUAACAGUGUGUUACAAAAAUGUGUCCUUGAAUACACUGGCAGGAUGACUUUCUGCUAGAGUCCUCCAGAACAGGCUGAAAACACCACUGGCACUGCGGGAAAUAAUAAAUGGGGAUGGAAAGUGGCCAAAGGAGUGAGAGUACCAUCCAACUGGACAGCCUCAGCUCUCCAAACAAUCCAGCUCUGUGCAGGAAUGGAAGCAAGCAGUGUCCACCCCUUCUGCUGAAGCUUCUUCUCAUUAGAAGGUCACCAAUUAUUUCUGAGUGAUCAGCAGAAUUUCUUCCAGGCUGCAUAAAUUUAAUGUGGCCUUUUGUUCUGCUGUGUGGCUACUUCUUCCAAGGGGCAUCUCUUUAUAGCUGGAGCAGAUCAUGGAGGUACCACUGCUCCAAGGAAAGGGGAGGAGGAGGAGGAUGACUUACACAGAUAGUCUGCCUGGGAUUUAGAUAGUGAGAGGCCAAAAGAAAUUGUUUAAAGUCUGGCCUAGUAAAUGAAUUUAAUCUAUAUAAACUCUUGAUUAGAAGCUGGUUCCUCAGACACUAAGUGUCAGAGUGAUUGCCUGGUACCACGUUCUAUUUAUGCUGAUAGAGGAGCUGGCCCAUAUAUAUUUCCUUUUAAAUUUAUAUUUUGCUGUUUUCUAUUUCUGGGAAAUAAUUAAGGAGAACUAAGGCCACUUAGGGAACGCGUCUGUGUGAGGCUGGAGGAAAAUCUAGCUGGACAAAUCUGCUAGUUCAAAUUUGUAGCUGUACUGAAUUUGAAUUAGGCCUUUCAAAUAUUUUGGUUUAAGCAAGCUGAAAAGGUAGGCUGGAGGAGCAGGACGGGGGGGAAACUGGCUUUUCCCUGUCUGCUGACAUCCCCUUUUGUACUGUGCACAUGGUCAGGCACUGGGUGACAGACCUGGAUUUACUGAGAAAUCGUCAAUCCCGAGAGAAAAGGAAAUCUGGGGUAAACACUGUCUUCACUCACAUGUGGGUCAAGGAUUUUCAGAUCAGUAUUAAAAGAAGACCAGUGGUGCCUGUGGGGAGAAGAGACAACACUUGAGUGUGAAUUUGCUUCCCAAGGCCUGGAAGGCAUUUUUCCUCUUGCUGAGAAAGAACUUUGAGGAGGGCUGUGCACAGUGCUGCUGCCUGGUCCCUCUGCUGCAGCAGGGCCCAGGGUCCCACAAAGCCACCACCUCACAGGGGUACCAGGAGGUGAAGAUUUCAAAUGAAAAGAUUCUCUGAAGUGCAAACAAUGUGCUUUAUAAAACAAAGUAUAAAUUAGCUAAGGAGAAGAAAAUAGCAUCUGUUGAAAACAGAUAAGUGAGGAGUGUGCCUGUGGAUAUCUGGGUAGAUUUACCAAGGAGUCAAUUAGAGUCAAUUAUCACCCUCAAACUCCUCACCCUGGGUUUUGUAUUCUUGCAGUGUGUCCAAUUCAGCGUGUGCUGUUUCAUAGGUUCACAAUUUUCUCUCUGUGUCUGAAAUGAUCUAGCUGGAGACACCAGGAAAGUGCCAAGCUUUAAGUAUAUGACAAUUGUAAUUCUUUUGACUGAAACCUGAUUUGAUUCAGUUGAAAAUGACUUCAGUGUAUUGGAUUUACGGUUCAUUUACCAAGUGCUGUAGAUGUCAAUACAUUAGUGUAAACCUGAUGCAGGUAGUAAUUUGGUUUCUAAUGAGGUUCCCCAGCAGUAUCCAGCUAUGAAAAAUGGGGCAUUCUUCAUUGAAGCACAAAGUGCACCUGCCUGAUGGCAGAUGUUGUCUGAGGCCCUGCUACUUUCACUUUCUGGGAAGAGUGUGGUGUUAUAUCUUGCUGUGGGCUUUAAAAGUGCCUUAAACUGAUAAAAUG
This is a non-coding RNA of Taeniopygia guttata (zebra finch), 6202 nucleotides long. The record is from RefSeq and is a predicted model, not a curated record. Lineage: Eukaryota; Metazoa; Chordata; Aves; Passeriformes; Estrildidae.